This 1343-nucleotide ribosomal RNA is filed under the name uncultured bacterium. RNAcentral's name for it is "16S ribosomal RNA". It matches the Rfam family "Bacterial small subunit ribosomal RNA", at positions 28 to 1378 of the family's 1533-position model. The record is from RNAcentral.
GACGAACGCUGGCGGCGUGCUUAACACAUGCAAGUCGAACGGAAAGGCCCUGCUUUUGUGGGGUGCUCGAGUGGCGAACGGGUGAGUAACACGUGAGUAACCUGCCCUUGACUUUGGGAUAACUUCAGGAAACUGGGGCUAAUACCGGAUAGGAGCUCCUGCUGCAUGGUGGGGGUUGGAAAGUUUCGGCGGUUGGGGAUGGACUCGCGGCUUAUCAGCUUGUUGGUGGGGUAGUGGCUUACCAAGGCUUUGACGGGUAGCCGGCCUGAGAGGGUGACCGGCCACAUUGGGACUGAGAUACGGCCCAGACUCCUACGGGAGGCAGCAGUGGGGAAUAUUGCACAAUGGGCGGAAGCCUGAUGCAGCAACGCCGCGUGCGGGAUGACGGCCCUCGGGUUGUAAACCGCUUUCGCCUGUGACGAAGCGUGAGUGACGGUAAUGGGUAAAGAAGCACCGGCUAACUACGUGCCAGCAGCCGCGGUGAUACGUAGGGUGCGAGCGUUGUCCGGAUUUAUUGGGCGUAAAGGGCUCGUAGGUGGUUGAUCGCGUCGGAAGUGUAAUCUUGGGGCUUAACCCUGAGCGUGCUUUCGAUACGGGUUGACUUGAGGAAGGUAGGGGAGAAUGGAAUUCCUGGUGGAGCGGUGGAAUGCGCAGAUAUCAGGAGGAACACCAGUGACGAAGGCGGUUCUCUGGGCCUUUCCUGACGCUGAGGAGCGAAAGCGUGGGGAGCGAACAGGCUUAGAUACCCUGGUAGUCCACGCUGUAAACGGUGGGUACUAGGUGUGGGGUCCAUUCCACGGGUUCCGUGCCGUAGCUAACGCUUUAAGUACCCCGCCUGGGGAGUACGGCCGCAAGGCUAAAACUCAAAGGAAUUGACGGGGCCCCGCACAAGCGGCGGAGCAUGCGGAUUAAUUCGAUGCAACGCGUAGAACCUUACCUGGGUUUGACAUGGAUCGGGAGUGCUCAGAGAUGGGUGUGCCUCUUUUGGGGUCGGUUCACAGGUGGUGCAUGGCUGUCGUCAGCUCGUGUCGUGAGAUGUUGGGUUAAGUCCCGCAACGAGCGCAACCCUUGUUCACUGUUGCCAGCACGUUAUGGUGGGGACUCAGUGGAGACCGCCGGGGUCAACUCGGAGGAAGGUGGGGAUGACGUCAAGUCAUCAUGCCCCUUAUGUCCAGGGCUUCACGCAUGCUACAAUGGCUGGUACAGAGAGUGGCGAGCCUGUGAGGGUGAGCGAAUCUCGGAAAGCCGGUCUCAGUUCGGAUUGGGGUCUGCAACUCGACCUCAUGAAGUCGGAGUCGCUAGUAAUCGCAGAUCAGCAACGCUGCGGUGAAUACGUUCCCGGG